CAUAUCAAUAAGCGGAGGAAAAGAAACCAACAGGGAUUGCCCUAGUAACGGCGAGUGAAGCGGCAACAGCUCAAAUUUGAAAUCUGGCGCAAGCCCGAGUUGUAAUUUGUAGAGGAUGUUUCUGGCGACGCGCCUUCCGAGUUCCCUGGAACGGGACGCCAUAGAGGGUGAGAGCCCCGUACGGUUGGAUGCCUAGCCUCUGUGAAACUCCUUCGACGAGUCGAGUAGUUUGGGAAUGCUGCUCUAAAUGGGAGGUAUACGUCUUCUAAAGCUAAAUACCGGCCAGAGACCGAUAGCGCACAAGUAGAGUGAUCGAAAGAUGAAAAGCACUUUGAAAAGAGGGUUAAAAAGUACGUGAAAUUGUUGAAAGGGAAGCGUUCAUGACCAGACUUGGGCAGGUUGAUCAUCCGUGGUUCUCCGCGGUGCACUCUGCCUGCCCAGGCCAGCAUCAGUUCGCCCCGGGGGAUAAAGGCUUUGGGAAUGUGGCUCCCUCGGGAGUGUUAUAGCCCACUGCGUAAUACCCUGGGGUGGACUGAGGUUCGCGCUCUGCAAGGAUGCUGGCGUAAUGGUCAUCAACGACCCGUCUUGAAACACGGACCAAGGAGUCGUCUUCGUAUGCGAGUGUUCGGGUGUCAAACCCCUACGCGUAAUGAAAGUGAACGUAGGAGAGAGCUUCGGCGCAUCUCCGACCGAUCCUGAUGUUCUCGGAUGGAUUUGAGUAAGAGCAUACGGGGCCGGACCCGAAAGAAGGUGAACUAUGCCUGUAUAGGGUGAAGCCAGAGGAAACUCUGGUGGAGGCUCGCAGCGGUUCUGACGUGCAAAUCGAUCGUCAAAUA
This 836-nucleotide ribosomal RNA is filed under the name Clonostachys rosea. Its description in RNAcentral is "partial large subunit ribosomal RNA". It matches the Rfam family "Eukaryotic large subunit ribosomal RNA", at positions 39 to 911 of the family's 3401-position model. Lineage: Eukaryota; Fungi; Ascomycota; Sordariomycetes; Hypocreales; Bionectriaceae. The record is from RNAcentral.